UGGGGAAUAUCGGACAAUGGGGGGAACCCUGAUCCAGCCAUGCCGCGUGUGUGAAGAAGGCCUUAUGGUUGUAAAGCACUUUAAGCGAGGAGGAGGCUCUUUUGGUUAAUACCCAAGAUGAGUGGACGUUACUCGCAGAAUACGCACCGGCUAACUCUGUGCCAGCAGCCGCGGUAAUACAGAGGGUGCAAGCGUUAAUCGGAAUUACUGGGCGUAAAGCGCGCGUAGGUGGUUCGUUAAGUUGAAUGUGAAAGCCCCGGGGUCAACCUGGGAACUGCAUCCAAAACUGGCGAGAUAGAGGAGGGCAGAGGGUGGUGGAAUUUCCUGUGUAGCGGUGAAAUGCGUAGAUAUAGGAAGGAACACCAGUGGCGAAGGCGACCACCUGGGCUCAUACUGACACUGAGGUGCGAAAGCGUGGGGAGCAAACAAG
Molecule: ribosomal RNA, 430 nt
Filed under: Pseudomonadota bacterium
Lineage: Bacteria; Pseudomonadati; Pseudomonadota
Description: Proteobacteria bacterium partial 16S ribosomal RNA
Rfam family: Bacterial small subunit ribosomal RNA
Source: RNAcentral